UCAGAAUACCCCCAUAAGCCUCACGGAACAUCCCCACAUGGUCAGGCGUAAUCAAUGCUAUCAUCUCUUUCAGUGCAUCAAUCUCUGGAUCAAAGAAACUGUAUACAACAUCAUUCUUCAAGCCGGGCCUCAUAUCUGGAACAAAGAAGUCUCCCAACCGAUAUCUCAAUCAAGAAUGUCCCCUGCAUAUGGAUAAAAAUGUGUUAGAUGUGGAUAAAUGCAAAAUGUGAAUGAUGCUGAUGCAUGAAUGCAAUGCACUGUGCCAUCCUCC
RNAcentral lists this long non-coding RNA (271 nucleotides) under Lathyrus oleraceus (garden pea). Its description in RNAcentral is "Pisum sativum (pea) long non-coding RNA (PSAT_LNC012939)". Lineage: Eukaryota; Viridiplantae; Streptophyta; Magnoliopsida; Fabales; Fabaceae. The record is from RNAcentral.